This 137-nucleotide ribosomal RNA is filed under the name uncultured bacterium. RNAcentral's name for it is "partial 16S ribosomal RNA". It matches the Rfam family "Bacterial small subunit ribosomal RNA", at positions 355 to 509 of the family's 1533-position model. The record is from RNAcentral.
UGGGGAAUAUUGCACAAUGGGCGAAAGCCUGAUGCAGCGACGCCGCGUGAGCGAAGAAGUAUUUCGGUAUGUAAAGCUCUAUCAGCAGGGAAGAUAAUGACGGUACCUGACUAAGAAGCACCGGCUAAAUACGUGCC